GCUCAGCUAGUUCAGUUGGUAGAUCAUGAGACUCUUAAUCUCAGGGUCGUGGGUUUGUGCCUCAUUUUGGGCA
RNAcentral lists this transfer RNA (73 nucleotides) under Cricetulus griseus (Chinese hamster). It matches the Rfam family "tRNA". From Rfam's summary of the family: Transfer RNA (tRNA) molecules are approximately 80 nucleotides in length. Their secondary structure includes four short double-helical elements and three loops (D, anti-codon, and T loops). The record is from Rfam by way of RNAcentral. Lineage: Eukaryota; Metazoa; Chordata; Mammalia; Rodentia; Cricetidae.